RNAcentral lists this ribosomal RNA (460 nucleotides) under uncultured bacterium. RNAcentral's name for it is "partial 16S ribosomal RNA". It matches the Rfam family "Bacterial small subunit ribosomal RNA", at positions 338 to 795 of the family's 1533-position model. The record is from RNAcentral.
CCUACGGGUGGCAGCAGUGAGGAAUAUUGGUCAAUGGACGCAAGUCUGAACCAGCCAUGCCGCGUGCAGGAAGACGGCUCUAUGAGUUGUAAACUGCUUUUGUACGAGGGUAAACGCAGAUACGCGUAUCUGUCUGAAAGUAUCGUACGAAUAAGGAUCGGCUAACCCCGUGCCAGCAGCCGCGGUAAUACGGAGGAUUAAAGCGUUACCCGGAUUUUAUGGGUUUUAAGGGUGCGUAGGCGGUCGGAUAAGUUAGAGGUGAAAUCCCGGGGGUCAACUUCGGAAUUGCCUCGGAUACUGGUCAGCUAGAGAGUAGUUGCGGUAGGCGGAAUGUAUGGUGUAGCGGUGAAAUGCUUAGAGAUCAUACAGAACACCGAUUGCGAAGGCAGCUUACCAAGCUACUUCUGACGUUGAGGCACGAAAGCGUGGGGAGCAAACAGGAUUAGAUACCCUAGUAGUC